AGUGUCUGCCAGCACUGUGUUACUGUUAAAGCCACCAGCACGAGCAUCAGACGAUGCUGAUCCAGUGAGUACUCCAUCAAAGGCAUACUGUACUCUCUCUGGAUUCCAGAAGGCAUAAGGACCCAGUGUCAUUGGUGCACUGGACUGCACACACAUAAGGAUAAAAGCCCGCUCAGGUGCCCAUGAGGCAGAUUUUGUAAAUAUGAAAUCUUUUCACAGCAUUAAUGUUCAGGUGAACAUAACUUUUUGAUAUUUUCCAUUGAACACUGGCAAAAUGGGCUGGCUCAGUCCAUGACUCCAGAAUCUUUCGGACCUCUGAAAUCUAUCAGCGCCUAUCACAAGGUGAAUUCUCUGGUGUGUUGCUGGGAGACAUGGGGUAUGGCUGCCAGCCUUUUUUCCUGACACCUUUAACAGACCCCCAGGAAGCACAGCAGGCCUACAACUAUGCCCAUGCCAGGACCAGGGCUAGAGUUGAAAUGACCUUUGGCCUCCUGCAGGCACACUCUCACUGCCUUCACAAAUUAAGGCUCAGCCCUGUGAUGGCAUGUGACAUUACUGUGGCUUGUGCUGUCCUCCACAAUGUGGCCUGCCUGAGGAAGGAGAGGGCCCCCAGAGUACCGGCAGCCAUGGACUGGGACAAUCCGGAAAUCUUCCCUGAUGACAACAGUGGUCGGCUGCUGAGGAACCAAUAUGUGUUGAAUUAUUUUAGUUAGUAUGUGUGCUUUCAAUUUUUUUUAUUGAUUUGGCCUCUCUUAAUGUUUGUGCUGUAUACUGUGUGUAUACUGUUUGUAAUACAAGCUUGCAGGGAGGCUACUGCAUCCAUUAAUUGUCUUGUUUUCAGUUGUCUGAAAUUGUCUGUUCAGUUAAUGUGUAUGGAUUUGUCCUGCAUUUAUUUCAGUGUGCAGACAUGCAGGUGUCACAGGGUGACUAUUAUAGGGCGGAACCAAAAGCGGCGAAGAUUGGUUCCGCCCGAAGAUGGUUUCCGCCCCGGCCCAACAUUGUAAACACCAGUACUUCCUGGUUGCUGUGGCAACACAAUCGGGGCUGAUAAGCAACAGGUGAGAAGAAUUAAGGUUGGCAAUGUGUGAUUGGAAGAGGUAAUGAAGAUGGGAAGUAUAAAUAGACCUGCAGCAACACAAGAAGAGGAGAGUAGAUUUCCGGGGUGAGCUCCGCUCCGCCAAGGGCGGACCAAAACUUACACUUCCUGUGAAGCACCCAGAGCACCGUUGAUCCGGGGAUCACUUUGGAAGCGAGCGGAAAGAGUGCGGGGCGAAGAGAGGCGAAAGGAAGGAGUGUGGUCGUAUAGUACAGCGGAGCACCACGGAAAAGAAGGCGUUGUUUUUGUCGCUGUAGCGUUGGUUGCUGUAGUGCGGUGUUGUUGUUGCCACGGAGGCCUGGCGGAACUGGUAAACAGAGGAAUCGGAGUUGGAUUAACUGGGUGAAGAAAGCAUUGCUAAAGCGAGUCACUGGGUCGAGUAAGUGGAAAACAGUUGCUGUUAUGAUGUGGAUGUACCGACACGAUAUGCCUUGGUGGAUUUAGAGAAUUUGGGAGUAACGAAUCCAUAGUGUAUUACCUGAUCUUGUGCUGUGAGUUUACCACGUAGCGUUGCGGCCCCACUGGAAAGGGAAGCGUGGGCGAGCCGGGGAACAACACUGGAAGUAUAAGACGCAUGUGAGUGGCAUUAAAGUCUGUGUUACGUAUUGUGAAUUUAAAGUAUAUUACCUGACCUUGUGCUGUGAGUUUACCGCGUAGUGUAGCGGCCCCACUGAGGAGAGAAGCGUGGGCGAGCCGGGAAACAACACUGGAAGUAUAAGACGCAUGUGAGUGGCAUUAAAGUCUGUGUUACGUAUUGUGAAUUUAAAGUGUAUUACCUGAUCUUGUGCUGUGAGUUUACCACGUAGCGUAGCGGCCCCACUGAAGAGAGAAGCGUGGGUGAGCCGAGGAGCACCAGCAAUAACCACCGGGGGGUCCUGUGUCCAUCUUUUAAGCACUUCUUCCCCUCCACCAAGAACAUCACCCAACCAACUGCACGGCGGGCCCGGGUCGAGUUCUGGCUUGGUCCAUAGUUCACUAAGUGUGUGUGUAGUGCCGUGGGUGAGUCUGUGUCUUCAUUGUGUGUGUACACCUAAGCUUGCAUUGUCGUGCUGUGCUCAUGUUGACAGAAGCCACUUCGAGGCCAGAGGAGUCGUGAGGAGAUCCCAGCCGUUGAGGUCGGUGGAGUGUGAGUUGGAGGAAUUUGCAACUUAGGACUUCCUGGAGGGUGAAGUGACGGACCUUUUCUCGACGAGUGAAUGGGCAGUGGUGAAGUAUCUGUUUACUGAAGUGAGUAAACCAUUUUAUGUUCAGUGCUUUUGACGGAGGGUUGUUGGGCUGACGUCUGCACGAAAUAACUGUCCUUGUGUGGAGCCUCUUCAAAGGUUCGCUCCUGUUCCGUGUCUCCGGUACUGUGAGUGGAAGAAGAACAAGGGAAGCGUUCGGCUCUACACAUCCAUACCCGACGUCCCCCUCCUGCCCUCUUGGAGGCCCACGAACCUGAAGAAGGUAGGACGUCCCAGCCUUGUGUAUUCUUUACCUCUGCUUACCGCACGAACCUGGAGGAGGAAGGAAAAGGCACAGUAGUAAAAUUGGUAGACAGUAUACUAACCACCUUUCUUCUGUGAUCUGCCUCCAGGAGAAGAGGAGCGCGCCACGGGUUCAAGAAGACCAACCUCAAGGAGUCUGUCCCCCUGUCCCCGUGGAAGCUCCGCCUGGAGGCGGGAAGGAUUCAUUGUUUUAAUUGCCCCCUUUCCCUUCCCCAUAUUAUUUUAAAUAUUUAAUAAAGUUCAUUUUAAUUAUACUCAUUCCAUGUGUGUCUUGUCAUUGGGGUUGGCUUUGGGACCUCCUCGAGGUGGAAACUAGGAAGGGGCGUGGCUUGUUACAGUCUGUGGUCCGCCCCGACCUGUGACACAGGGUGUGUUAUAUACAGACCUUUGAAUGUGUAUUUAUCCUUUGGUUGUA
Misgurnus anguillicaudatus (oriental weatherfish) is the source of this 2998-nucleotide non-coding RNA. Lineage: Eukaryota; Metazoa; Chordata; Actinopteri; Cypriniformes; Cobitidae. The record is from RefSeq and is a predicted model, not a curated record.